Molecule: long non-coding RNA, 328 nt
Organism: Pomacea canaliculata
Lineage: Eukaryota; Metazoa; Mollusca; Gastropoda; Architaenioglossa; Ampullariidae
Exons: 3
Source: RefSeq, a predicted model, not a curated record
UGUCUGACAGCAAACACUAGUGUGGAGCGGCUGUUACGGGCAGUGUACCGCCCACACAACGUGUACUGCAUCCACCCCGACAACAAGUCCAGCGACGACUUCCACUCCAGUCUGCGCUUCAUCGCCGGUUGUCUUCCCAACGUCAACAUCGUCGAGCGCCCCCUGAGUGUGGAGUGGGGCAAAUACUCCGUCUUACAGGCGGAUGUAGAAUGCAUGCGGUUGCUAUGGAAACACCCUCGCAAGUGGCGAUACUUUAUCAACUUAACAGGUCAAGAGUUUCCCCUGAAGACCAACAAGAGAUCGUUCGCAUUCUUCAGACUUUCAAUGG